This 45-nucleotide small RNA is filed under the name Prevotella sp. CAG:386. RNAcentral describes it as "Acido-Lenti-1 RNA". It matches the Rfam family "Acido-Lenti-1 RNA". Lineage: Bacteria; Pseudomonadati; Bacteroidota; Bacteroidia; Bacteroidales; Prevotellaceae. The record is from Rfam by way of RNAcentral.
CCCAGGGCGUAGCCCUGGGCUAAGAGCUUCUGCCCUUUCAGGGCG